AUGUGUGACUUCGGAUAUCAGAUCCUUGAAUAUAUACAGACCCUGAGUUGUGUCUCCAAUGUUAAGAGUCAGUCGUUGGUUUAUCACGUCACAGCUGGAGAGACUAAAGGCCUUGAUGGCAGGACUGUGAAGAUUUUUUUAAAGAAUCAUCAUCAGUGUAACGGUAACCCCAAGCCACACAAAUGUAUACCUCUGCAAGAAGAGGACCACAGAUAUGGCGAGACGUAAAGGAACCCUAAGGAUGAAGGUGCAAAGAUCUCCAGACGCCCCCUCAAAUGGAGUUCUGUUAGAGCUGUGAAAGCUGAGAAGGAGUUGAAUGGCAUAAGAAGACUAGAAAACUACUGAGUGGAGUCCAUUCUCCUCAAUGGCCUCUUACAGCCCUCCAUAAGCUGCCCAUGUGCUAACCUUCCAAACUUAUUUGCCACCAAUGUGGAAAAUGCACUUUCUUCUCUUCUUGGGCCGAGCUUCUCUACUGGACCAGUCAUUUCCUGGUCAGUCACAUCUGUGUGACUUUGCCCUCACAGCCCUCAUGGUCUGUAAUAAUCCUUCCCUUCUGCAUCUCCUCAAACUCACAUCCUCCCAGGCCUUUGUCCUCCUGACUACUCCAGCUCAUCCCCAAACCUCCUUCUCAGAACCCCUUUAAUUCUUAAAGCUCCAGUCACCCCAUUCAUCACUUAAUUUCUAUAUUGUGCCGCUUCCUAAAUUUUACUCCUUACCAUGACUACUACAUUAUCUCUACUCCAAAUAGAGAUUUCUUUGUAUUUCUCUUUAUACACACCAGCUUAGAACUGAUAGGUGAUUAUCAAUGACUUGUUCCUUGCUGGAAUAUUUCAAUGGAUUUUUUUUUUAAUUUAGAAAACACCUAAAACUAAUUAUUUUCUAAACUUUGUUUAGCUUCAAUGUAGACAGGCACCUCACAAUAUGUUCCAAAACCCAACCAUUCAAAGAAAACUACAUUUAA
This 961-nucleotide long non-coding RNA is filed under the name Dasypus novemcinctus (nine-banded armadillo). Its description in RNAcentral is "lncRNA (ENSDNOG00000052110.1)". The record is from RNAcentral. Lineage: Eukaryota; Metazoa; Chordata; Mammalia; Cingulata; Dasypodidae.